Molecule: ribosomal RNA, 301 nt
Filed under: uncultured bacterium
Lineage: Bacteria
Description: partial 16S ribosomal RNA
Rfam family: Bacterial small subunit ribosomal RNA
Source: RNAcentral
CAGCCGCCGCGGGAAUACAGAGGGUGCGAGCGUUAAUCGGAUUUACUGGGCGUAAAGCGUGCGUAGGUGGUGGUUUAAGUCCGUUGUGAAAGCCCUGGGCUCAACCUGGGAAUUGCAGUGGAUACUGGGUCACUAGAGUGUGGUAGAGGAUAGUGGAAUUUCCGGUGUAGCAGUGAAAUGCGUAGAGAUCGGAAGGAACAUCUGUGGCGAAGGCGACUAUCUGGGCCAACACUGACACUGAGGCACGAAAGCGUGGGGAGCAAACAGGAUUAGAUACCCCAGUAGUCCCUGUCUCUUAUAC